CCGAGCUCGGCCAGGUCGAGGUCCUGGUCGACCAUGACGACCCGCUGCCCCGCCGCGAGCGGCGCCCACAGGUUCGGCACCUGCAGGUCGAAC
Molecule: transfer RNA, 93 nt
Filed under: Phytohabitans houttuyneae
Lineage: Bacteria; Bacillati; Actinomycetota; Actinomycetes; Micromonosporales; Micromonosporaceae
Description: tRNA-Met
Source: RNAcentral